CCUACCCAAGAUUUAUACUUUAAUUUUUUUUGUUUCCUGUUAGUUAUCAUCACAUCAGGAUUUAAGAGAACAAGGUCCGCAUUUACCCACACAGGUGACAAUCAGGACCAAUUGCAAGUCUGUCAAUAGUGCUGAUCUGCGUCUACCUGAAGUGGCUACUUGUACACAAAUCCACACCUGCCAGAUCUGCACCAACUCAGAACCGAGGCAGGAGAGAGAAAAUACUGACCCACUUACAGCGUUGGUGCCACCCGACUCCUCAGCCGCCCGGAAGCCGAUCGUCUGCCUUUCCCCACCGCGUCAGCGCCGUGUCCCGAGCUGAAGGCCGGCGAGGAUGGCGCAGGCAGAGCUUGGUUUCACGGACAAGCAGUUCAGAGUCACGUUCGAGGCAAUUUUUCCAGUUAGGAUGGCUGACUCAAAUUUCAGUUUUUCUUUGCUUCUCGGUUUUGAGGUACCAGAUGUGCUAAGCAUAAUAUGACAUAUUGUUAUCUUUAUUUAUUAGUCUCUGAGAAUUAAUUAUCUUUAGCUGAUACGAAGCUCGCCUCUCCCCCAGUCACUGCGUGAUUGCUGUUUCAACAGAGAAGUCAAAGAAAAAGAUCAAGGUUUAGGGGCCCUCUCAAGCUUUUGCUCUCAUUUGACAUCCAGGAUUUCAUCUAUUGUUCACGCCAGUCAAUAACAAUUUGCCUGAAAUUCCAUUUUAAUGCUGUGAAGAUGACUGUGUCUCUCUCUGAAAUGCCGUUAGGUCCACCAGGUCAUUGACACAACAGAAAAACCAUAUUUCAGUCCUUUAUUAGUUGUAACUGACUUCUGCCAUCAUUUAGGAAAAAGAGAUAAAUAUAUGUGUGCAUAUAUAUAUAUAUAUAUACAUAUAUAUAUAUAUA
This 881-nucleotide long non-coding RNA is filed under the name Equus asinus (donkey). Its description in RNAcentral is "lncRNA (ENSEASG00005030205.1)". Lineage: Eukaryota; Metazoa; Chordata; Mammalia; Perissodactyla; Equidae. The record is from RNAcentral.